Molecule: long non-coding RNA, 10659 nt
Filed under: Manihot esculenta (cassava)
Lineage: Eukaryota; Viridiplantae; Streptophyta; Magnoliopsida; Malpighiales; Euphorbiaceae
Description: long non-coding RNA (MESC_LNC002997)
Source: RNAcentral
CUCAAUGGACUUCACCACAUCCAUCCCUUCCACAACUCUCCCAAACACCACAUGCUGUCCGUCCAGCCACUCGGUCUUCGCCGUGCAUAUAAAAAACUGCGACCCGUUUGUCCCAGGCCCUGCAUUAGCCAUCGAUAAUAUCCCUGGUCCGGUGUGCUUCUUAAUGAAGUUCUCAUCGGCGAACUUUGAUCCGUAGAUAGAUUCACCCCCAGUUCCAUUUCCGGCAGUGAAAUCGCCUCCCUGACACAUGAAUCCAGGGAUCACUCUGUGAAAACUCGAUCCUUUGUAGUGCAAAAGUUUGCCGCUACGACCCAUCCCUUUCUCUCCAGUGCAGAGAGCCCUGAAAUUCUCAGCUGUUCGAGGCGUAGUAUCUGCGAACAGCUCUAUCACGAUCCGGCCAGCUGGAGCACCGCCGACAGUCAUGUCGAAGAAGACCUUAGGAUUUGCCAUUGCAGAGAUGAGCACGGUUCUCUACUACUCUGUUGAUUGAGUCAAUGGAAUGAAGGACUAGGGUAAGAAACUGAGAUCCUUUUCAUAGCAGGCGCGGCGUAUGCAAUAUCUUUGAGGUUUUGAUCACGAACGUCGACAUUGGACGCGUGGCAGGAUCCUGACAGGUAUCGUAAUUGAGUUGCUGCGACCUUGUCCCGUUGACGCGAAUAUAUUCUAUUCCACGUGGCGAAAUCAGAGAGGUAACAAACGAUAAGUACCAGAGAAAAUGAAUCUUCCUACGUGGCAAUUUAUAAUUAAUUAUAAUUAAAAAAAAGGGAAAAAUCUGAUGGAAAGACUUAGAGGGUGUUUGGGUUUUAUCGACAGCCUUUCGAUCUAUUCUAAUUUUAGAAUUUUUUUUCUCUACGGUCAAUAGUUGAUAUCACUUUAUAUUUUAUUUAAAUAUAUUAUUUUAGUAUUUAUUCAUAUUAAAUUUUUAUAUUAAUAUAAAUAUAAUAUUAUUAAUAAAAUAUUUAUAAUUAUAAAAUGAAUAUAAAUACUAUAAAAAUAAUUAUAUUAAUUAUAUUGUUUAUUUAUUUUUAUACAUAUACAUAAAAAAUAAGAUUUAUUUUAUUAAUAAUCAUAUUUUUAAAUUUUAUAUAUAUUAUAUAUUAAAUUAUUAAUUAUAUAUUUUUUAUAAUAAAUAAAUUAUAUAAUAUAUAUCAUUAUUUAUCAUUUUAUAGAUAAAUAAUAACUUAUAAUUUAUUAAUUCUUUUAAAUAUUUUAAUUAUAAUUAAAAAUUAAUUAUUAAUAUCGAUUAUUAAUUAUCAGUUAUAAGUAGUAUUCAACCAUUAUUCCUAGGGAUAGAUCUCUUGCAAGAAUGGGCUUCAUAGGUUGGUCAAGACUCUGAGUUUUGAACCACGGCUGAUGCAUUGUGGUGUUAUCUGGGCUGGGCUACGUAUCCCCGUCAUUCCGAAUGGCGUUAAAAGGCAUUGUGAGGAAUGGGCGUUUGGAGUAAUAGAUUACGGUUGGCUUUAAAUAGGUCGAAUUAUGUUUAUUUAGUAUCAUAUGAUUAGGCCUAUUCCUAACGACAAAGCGGUAUUGGCAUUUAUGUAAGACUUGGCAAUAAAUAAUUAUGAUAUUAAUAAUGUUUUGUAAUAUUAAACGUAUAAUGUCCACAGUUUGCUUUCAUCAUCACACAACCACUAUUGAAGCCGGCAGUAGCCAACUGUCUGAUGGCCGGCUCUUUCUUCUGUCUGGUGUGAAUUUUCUGUCAACGUAAUCGCAACUCCUGCGAAGUUCCCUUCUGAACAACAUUUCUCCUUCAUACUUGACAUGUACAAGCUUCAUUUCUGAGAUUGUUUCCUUGCACGAUGAGAAACUUGUCUCUGAUUAUAUUUGCUCUAGUGUUGGACAUAUUUUUCUGUAUAUAUUAGCGUCAUAUUGUCAAUGCUGCUUGUAGUUCUUGCAAUUCUUUGGUUUCAAGGCCCAGAAGGUUAUUAUUUGAAACUCCUUGGUUUUCUUGUUUUUGUCAUAACUUCAUACGUUAAAAUGAAAACUGAAGAAAGGAUAAUUAAGAUUGGUGAUACAAACUCCAUAAUAUCUAGGCCAAACAAAAUGUUUAUAAAGUUGCUUGUUAUGUGUUUUUAUUAUUCAGUUUAAACACUUUGUUAAACAAUGAUGAAGUGUGUUUGUGUUUUUGUGCAUAUAUAUAUUAUUUUGCUCUGAUGAUUGGUAACUUUGUGAUUAAAUUGAUUGAAUUUUUCUGGUUCAACCUUUCUUAACAUUAACCUUCUCAACUCGCACUAGGGGGAUUCAAAUUGAUGGACCAAAGUAAAGAAAAAUAUGAAAACCAUCUGACCUUGAUGAUACUUGCUUAAGCCAACUCUCAAGCAUGGCAUUUGACUGGAAUUCUUUCAUUUUUUUAUAUAUAUCUUUUCUUUUACAGUGUUGUCAUAGAAAUUGGAAAGAAGCCUGCUACUGAUGGUGGUUAGUUGCUCUUAUUGUUUGCAUUGACUCAGAUUGACUCAAAGAUGACGGGAGGAGACUAUAGGUAUGUAACAGACCAAAAGGAUAUUAUGAGAUUCUUGAUCACCACGAUAGAUAGUUUUAUACAAGAUCGGUUUAUCAAUAAAGAACAAAGGGCCCAGCACAAAGAACAAUGUUCUGAGAGAUUAGCAGCUGAAGAUGGGAGCUGUGACAAAGAUAUGGAGGUUCGAUACUCUGAUCAAGCUGUAUUAGCAAAUUUAGACUGGGGUAUUGAAGCCCUUGAAGAAGCUAUCGAUACUGCUAAUAUGGAAACAAAGAUGGCACGAUUAGAUUAUGCAGAGAAGAUGCUGCAAGUGUGUGCCAUGUUGAACUCUAGCCAGAGAACAGCUGGAGUCCCCAAUUUCUACCUCUCAGCUUGGGCCCACCUUAACCUUUCAUAUUUGUGGAAAUUGCGUAAUGAUAUUCACAAUUCAGUUCAUCAUCUUCUUGAGAUGUUUAUUAUUGAUCCAUUCUUCUCAAGGAUUGAUUUUGCCCCAGAACUUUGGAAAGAUUUAUUUCUGCCACAUAUGAGCUCAAUUGUUGGAUGGUAUUCUGAGGCGAGACACAGGCUGAUGAUGGAAGUGAUUCCUGAUUCUUCUGAUUUGUCAUUCACUGCUGACUUGGAUCAAUUUUUCAACGAGUCUCUGAUCUUCUCAAUGAGGCCAGAUCAGUUGGAAAAAUUGCAAAAGUUAGAGCAACUUUACGGAGAAUCAUUGGAUGAGAACACGCGGCUUUUUGCUAAAUAUUAUGAUGAUUGCAUGAACAACGAUUCUACUGUAAGCAAAAAGAUGAUUCCAAUGUUGCCAAUAGCAGAGCCACCAAUGACUCCUUUGCAUGAGGUUAGCAGGUCAAUCCCUGAUUAUGUGAAAUUUGGUCCUAUCUUGCCCAAGAGUGCUGGUUUUGCUCCAGUUCUCCGAUCUAAACAUGGUACAAGAGAAGCUAACAGGUUAGUAUAUAUCCUGAAGUAAGUUCGGUGAUGGUAUUCUUUGAGCAGGAGAUGAAAGUUUUUUUUUUGUAGCUGUGGGUUAUAUUUUCUGGUAAUUAGAAGUCUGCAUUCAAUCUUCUGUUCAAUCUUCUGUUUUCAGAGGCUUUAAUGUAUGCAUGUUAUUUUGUAUAUGGCUUUGAACAGAUUAACCGUAGGUUCAACUCUCUCCCAUAAUUCGGAAGAGCCUACCAUGUGGGAUCCUCGGGUAAGAUCAUGAAUUGCAGGCUACAUUUGUAAAUUCAUGUUGGUAAGUAAAAUUUGAUUUUGAAGUUGAUACUUCUCCUAAUGGCAUAUGACGUAUCAGGAGACCAUACUUGAGGAGAAUGAAGAUGGUUCUGAUUCUGACCCUAUUGAUGGUAAUAUGGAUUCUGAAGAUAAAAGUCGUCAGUUAGUAACUCUUAGCAGCAUGAAAAUUUCUGAGAAUGCGGAAACUGGCACAAGCACAAAGUCAUCUAAAGCAAACAUCCGAACAUAUUCUCCCACAAUCUUUUCUCCAAUUGAUUCCCCAACAGCUUUUUCGCCAAAACUUUGCUCUUCAAAAGCAGAUGUCCAUCCCAAAAAAGAAUCCAGGUCUCUAUUGCGCCUUCUGUCCAGCUCCAGCCAUGUCACAGAUUCAAAUCUUGGCCCCUCUUUGCCUGUCUCUCCACAUAUGAGUAGUUACUGCAGCAUGAGCUCACCAGACUCGGAUGGGGAAGUGACGGUCUGCCCUACACUUCAGAUUUUAUUGAUCUUUUCUCUAUAGCAAUUAAAAAUUGCCGGUUCAAUUUUUUUUUUUUACUAAUGGUGGCUUUGCAAUUUAGGAUCUACGGAGAAGUGUCAGGAAAAAAUACAAUAAAGCACGGAGUAUGAGUUAUGACAAUGUAAACAGCCAAGUAUUAGAGAAUAGGUAGCUGAAAUUCCCUUUGUCUUUCAAUAAUAUUUUUGGAUGCUGUCACAAAGUAUUCGUAUUGUUCUUGCCCUUGAAUCAAUAGUAAAAUAUUUUAAACAAGAUUCUGCUUGUUAUGAAUCUACAAAUUUAAAAUUCUUUGUUUAUGCAGUUCUCUUAAUGAAAGUGAUGACGGAAGCCAGAGUUGCAUUUCAAUCCCCAUGUCUGAUAAGUCGACUUCUCGUUCAAGGCCACCAAAAGAUUUCGUUUGCCCUAUCACAGGCCUGCUUUUUAAUGACCCAGUGACUCUUGAAACUGGUCAGACUUAUGAAAGAAAAGCAAUUCAAGAAUGGCUACAAAGAGGAAAUACAACAUGCCCCAUUACUCGGCAAGCUCUCUCAGCAAAUUCACUGCCCAAAACAAACUAUGUUCUGAAGAGACUCAUAACAUCUUGGAAAGAGCAGUAUCCUGAUAUUGCUCAGGAAUUUUUGUACUCUGAAACACCGAGGACUGCAUUUAGCUCCUCUUCUCCAUUAGCAUCCACUCCUUCCAGAAUGUUUGAUUUCCUCAGAAAUAAUAGCUCAGAUAGUCACAUACAGCAGAGAAGCAAAAGAUUUAUACGAUCGGCAGUGUCUACAUCACCAACCAGUGUAAUUUCCCAAGCCACUAUUGAAACAAUCAUCAAUGGGUUAAAACCACACAUUUCAUGUCUUUGCACUUCGGAAAACUUACAAGAAUGUGAAGCAGCAGUUUUAGCAAUAGCAAAAUUAUGGAAGGACUCGAAGGGUGACCCAGGGGUCCAUUCAUAUUUAUCCAAACCAACAAUUGUAAAUGGGUUUGUGGAAAUACUAUCAGCAUCACUGAAUAGAGAAGUUCUCAGGACAUCAAUUUACUUUCUUUCUGAGUUGAUAUUUUCAGAUGAAAGUGUUGGAGAGAUUCUGACUAGUGUAGAUUCUGAUUUUGAUUGCCUGGCUGCUUUGCUUAAGAAUGGGCUAGCUGAAGCUGCUGUUCUCAUUUACCAACUGAGACCUGCAUAUGCUCAGCUUUGUGCUCACAACUUUAUCCCCUCCCUUGUACAUCUAAUCCAGAUCAAAAUUGAAGAAUUGGAUGAUCUUCAGUUGGUAAUCGAGCCAAAGGAUGCUGCCAUAGCAUUGCUUGAGCAGAUUCUUGUUGGAGGGGAUGAAAACAGCCAGUCUGUUAAUGCUUUUAGUGUUAUUUCUGCAAAUGGAGUUCCAGCAUUGAUCAAGUGUUUGGAUAGGAUGGAAGGAAGAAAAUCUGUUGUUUCCAUACUUCUGUAUUGCAUGCUUGCUGAUAAAAGUUGCCGGAACUUCAUAGCAAGUAGAAUUGAACUGGGUCCUGUACUUGAAUUAUUUCAUUCGGGAAAUGAUAGUGUGAGAGGUAUAUGCAUAGAUUUUCUUUCAGAGCUGGUUCAGUUAAACAGGUACCUAUAUACACCAUUUCAUAGAUCAUCUAUUUGUUACUGCAAUCAACUUUAACGUAUGCUUAUUGAAAGGAAAAUAAUAAAGCCAUGGGGAAAAGGGGGGAAAAAAGACAAGAGGCACUAUCAUUUAUGUACCUUAAUUUUCAGCUCUAGAUUUUGAAUCUAUAUUCUUGACUAUAAUAAUGUCAAAUUUUGAAGUCCUCUUAUUAUUUUACAUUAUAAAUUCUUUUUUGUCCUCACAUUCAGAAAUUUUCACCUUGCAAAUGAUGAUACUAACAACCAUAUACUAGCUUUCCUGAAAACACUAUUUUCACAGCUGUACUUCCAUUAAGCUCGAAGAAUCCUUUCAAUUCCAAUUUUUUUGUCAUGUGCCUUCACAUACAAGUUUAAGCCUACUUGUUUCCAUGCAAGAAAGACAUGCAUCUAAGUAUUUGCUUGCUUUAAGGAUUGUUUUGUUUUUUCAUUGUCUUUCAGGAGGACAUUCUGCAAUAAGAUAUUGCAGAUAAUUAGAGAUGAAGGAGCAUUUAGUACUAUGCAUACUUUUCUUGUGUAUCUUCAAAUGGCUCCCAUGGAGCAGCAACCUGCCAUUGCCACUCUUCUUCUUCAGCUUGAUCUCUUGGUCUGCCUCAAUUCCUUGCAUUGUUCAUUGCAGAUCCUUCUCACAAAAUAACCCUCUUUUUGUAAAGCAGUUGGCCAUCUGACAAUUGAUUUAUAUUUAUUUAAAAUUUUCCAGGUUGAGCCACGGAAGAUGAGCAUUUACAGGGAAGAAGCUGUAGAGACACUUAUUGAAGCACUAAACAAAAAUGAAUUCUCUAAUUCUCAAAUGAUGGCUCUGGAUGCUUUAGUAUCUCUCUCUGGACGUCUUACUUCAUCUGGAAGGUCCUAUAUGGAAGCCUGGUUACUCAAGAUUGCAGGGUUUGAUCAACCUUACAAUGCUCUAAUGAAGGCAGAAGGACAGAAGAACAGAGAAAAUGAAUUAGCAGAAACAGUGGUUAGAAUUUAUGUUGUUUUAUGGUUGAUAUGGAGCUUGGUUAAUAUUUAUUAUAAGGAUUCCUGAAUCUUAAAUAUUAUUUCUACACAGGAAGAGGAAGAGAAGGCUGCAAGUUCUUGGGAGAGAAAAGUAGCUUUUGUACUUUGCAAUCAUGAAAAGGGUUCUAUCUUUAAAGCUUUGGAGGAAUGUUUCAAGAGUAAUUCCCUGGAGAUGGCAAAGUCUUGCCUUGUUAUUUCCACAUGGCUCACAUACAUGCUUUCAAUCCUUCCUGAUACUGGAGUAAGGGAGGCUGCUCGUAAGUCAUUGCUUGAUGAAUUUAUAAAUGUCCUCCAAUCAUCUAGGAACAUGGAAGAGAAGAUCUUGGCCACCCUUGCAUUAAAAACUUUUGUCAUGGACCUUGGUAAGACAAGUGUAGAGAAAAAAUUUUGAAAAAUGUUUAGAAUAUAUUUGAACAGAUGAUGACUGACCCAAGCUUACGUGAUCUAAAGCUGCACUUGAGGAGUUGGGAAAGUAUGCCAAAUGCAUUUAUAAAACCUUGAGAAAGUUCAAGAGAACUUCACCUGUGAUUGCUGAUAUACUUAAAUCUUUGAUGAACUUAUCCUCUGUGAAUGCAGUAAGUGGGAAAUGUAUUCUUUCUGUCUGUGUUUGCAAUCUAGGCAUGUGGAUAAGCUUAUUGGUGCCUGUAUUCUGUAUUUUAGACAGAGUUGUGGCAUUGUACUGAAGUGGUUGAAUUGGAAUCAUCUGGAAAUGGUGAAGUUCUGUCAUUGCUUCAUUUGAAAGGUCGUGUUUUGAGCAGCCAUUCUGAUGGGACCAUUAAGGUGUGGAUCUAUUUGUGCCUUCCUCAUCUCUCUCUAUCUCAUAUAUACACUCAUGAGAUUAGCUCUUUCAUAUGCAUAAAUUUAAGGCAUUACUCAUAGAUAACCGAGGAGUGAACUGUGCUUUACUGAUAGCUGAUUUUCAGGUGUGGGACGCUGGUAAGAGGGUUCUAAGGUUAAUUCAAGAAGUCCGCGAACACACAAAAGCUGUCACAUGCCUCUAUAUUCCAUCUUCUGGUGACAAACUGUAUAGUGGUUCCUUAGACAAAACAAUUCGGGUAAGCCUUAUAAUACAGUUAUCUUUUUCUUGCUAAUACAGUUGGCCUAGUUAAGUAGCUGCAUGAUUCAAUUUGAUUUGAUCAUUGGAAAUUCAACUGGUUCAGUUUGUACCUUCCCAAAAUUUAUGAACUCAAUUUAUUUCAAAACCACUGGACUGAUUGUCAUUAAACUUGAAGACCAGCAGAAUUUUAUUAUUUUGGUUUGGUUAAUUCAUUUUUGGAAUUUUUGUUGGCCUUUUACCUUUUUGGUCCAAAAAAAAGUGGAUUAUUUUUCUGGGCUUUAAUUGAUCCCCUAAAACCAGUUAUUCAAUAAUAAGACACUACCCAUGCUAAGCUAACAAUGAGCCAAACAAGCUGUUUCAUAGUUGUACAGAUAAGCCAUUAUUUGUGCUGACGUUUAUGUGGACUAACUGAAAGGUGGAAUCUUCAAACUGUCACUAACUGCUUAUGAUUUUUCCUCAAAUUUACUUAUCUGCAGGUUUGGGCAAUAAAGCCUGAAGAAAUUCAUUGCGUUCAAGUUCAUGAUGUAAAAGAGGCAGUAUAUGAGUUGACAGCUAAUUCUAAAGUCGCAUGCUUUAUGUCUCAAGGAACAGGGGUCAAGGCAAGUCCCUUCCCAGUUAAAGGAAAUUAUAGAACUGAUUUUUUUUUUUUUUUUUAAAAAAAAAAGGAAACUAAAGGUUGCAGUCUUUGGCAUUGGCAGAACAAGUUUUGAUGCUAAUUGUGUCAUCGCAGGUGUAUAAUUGGUCUGGGGUUCCAAAGCAUGUAACUUUCAACAAAACUGUGAAGUGCCUUGCUAUGACAGGAGAUAAACUAUACUGCGGCUGCUCUGGUUACAGUAUCCAGGUAAACAAUUUUCUGUUGCAUCCAGUUUGUCAUGGACUAGUUUUUUGGCUAUUUAGCAACAAUUAUUAAAUUUGAGUCAGAUGCAAAAGCUAAUUAAAGGGAAAGAGUUUCCAAAACUCACAUUGCCCUAUUCUAAACCAACCUGAUGAUCUAACUGCAAAUAUGCUAAAAUUUGAUAGGAGGUGGAUUUGUGCAAAUUGACAUCAACCACAUUCUAUUCCGGCACAAGAAAAUUGCUAGGGAAACAAAUUAUACAUUCCUUACAUAUUCAUGAUGGUCUACUGUUUGCUGGUGGUUCAGCAAUAGAUGGGACAGCAGGAAAGGUAAAAGAUUAACACCCAUUAUUCAAUUUGCUUAUGUUUUCCAAGGUUUUUGCAAUUGAAGAGUACUUUAAAAAAAAAUGGGAAUAAAAUAUGGCAGGUAUUUUCUCACACCACAAAAGCAAUGGUAGGAUCGUUUUGGACAGGAUUCGACAUUAUGCAUAUUGCAGCCAACAAUGACUUCAUAUUCACAGCGACAAAAUGUGGGACGAUUGAGGUUUGGUUAAAAGAAAGAAUCACAAGAGUUGCCUCCAUUAAGAUGAGUGGCAGUGGACAUCCCAAAAUCACAUCCUUAACUUCAGACAUGGACGGAGGAAUGUUAUAUGCUGGUUCCUCUGAUGGCAAGAUCCAGGUUUGAUUUGGACACAAACCCACAAAUAUAUUGCAGCCAAAGACAGAAAAACAAAUCUUUCUAGUUUCUAUUGUUCACUCAUUUGUCUGGGAUUUUGUUGCAGGCUUGGGCCAUGGACUAGGGAAUCCAACGUUACUUUCAGUUGUACAUCAAGUUUCGGCAAGUCUACACAAGUUAGCAGUUCGGGUUAACUUUUGUUGUAAAUUAAAUCUUGACAUUUGUUCAUAAUUUUGUUGCUAGAUCUAUGUUGUAUUACAAAAUUAAUUUUCUUAUAUAAUGUUUGGAAUCAAUUUGAAAUUAAAUGAAACCAAACGAGUUAAUUUAUUUAUUUUUAAGUUAAUUUAUAAUUUAAAUUUAAUAAAAAAUAUUUAUUUUAUAUAAUAUUCAUUAAUUACAAGUAUAACAAUUUACUGAAUUUUUUUGUAAUUUUAAAAUUUAUAAUAUCUCAACUAUUGAUUAAUAAAAAAGGUAAUUAACAUAUUAAAAAUAACGAAAAGCUAUAAUGUUAUCAUAUUUCAAGAACUAAAUAAAUUCUUAUCCAAAAAAAUUGCAAAAACUAAUUUGUAUUAAUUUUUCAAAUGAAAAAAAAAACUUAAUUGCGAAAUAAGGUUUUUUAUAUUAGGCACUCAGAAUGAAAAGGACUAUAAAAAUUUGAACUAGAUGUUUCACAGAUCUAUCGACCUCAAAUGUGAACACGAUAUCCUCAUCAUGCCAAUUCAACCUUUCUUUUUUCAAAAAGCAUUUGGGAAAAACACAAAGAUUACUUAUGAAAUAAUUAUGCACAAAAAAUCCAGAUUAAGCGAGCAUUCAGUAUGAGUAGGAGGUAAUAUUAAUCCUUCAUGAAAUGAGUCGGACAAUUUCAAAUUCAUCAUCACGAUGCUCACUAGCUUCAUCGCCACUGUUGGUUUAACAAAGAAACAGAAAUUAGAGAGAGAAGAUGAAGAAUAUUAAACCAUCAGAAUAUUGGAUCAUUGUAUCAUCGACGACACUUUAAGUGUCUCAGACGACCGUCGUGAGAAAUUUUAAUCCAAUUUCAUCACUUGAUUCUAUAAUCCCCAAAAGAAAUCUUCAAAACCAAUGCUUUCAAUAAAAUUACACUUACAAAAACCUAAAAGAAAAAAGGUGGAUAGAAAAUCAGCGACUGGAAUAGAGAAACUUCCACGACAAUACCUACACAGUCGCUAAUCGGAUCCAGUAGCUCAGCUCUUGUUCAACAACUCUCCACAAGAGUGACGGUUUUAUAGCGCUUUUGAGUUUAGCAGCUAGGGUUUUUGUCUAUUUGUAUUGACGAUUAUGUCCCUGUUAGGGUGCCCGG